Long non-coding RNA from Acinonyx jubatus (cheetah), 3531 nucleotides. RefSeq lists it as uncharacterized. The transcript is spliced from 3 exons. NCBI's taxonomy places the organism in Eukaryota, Metazoa, Chordata, Mammalia, Carnivora, Felidae. The record is from RefSeq and is a predicted model, not a curated record.
UAUCCUUAAAAUAUCACGUAAAUUUGACGACACAUUUUUUUUUUGUUUGUUUUUAUAUAAAAAUUGUGUUUAAAAUGUCUUCCCGUACGGUGAGCUUGGCUCUCCAGGGAAAUGUCAGGUGUUUGUUUUGUGGCUUGGCACACCCCUUGAUCCACCGCUAUGUACCUCAGCCUGGAGAAACACAGGCACCGAAUAUCAUUCAUCAUUUAAUAAAUAUUUGUUGAGCAAAGCACAGGGUAAGGUGUCACGACAAGAGUGACACUAAUUCACACUUGAGUCUUCCCGGUAAACCUAUAGAGCCUAUGGACCAAAAGAGAAAAGACUUGCAAAUGUAUGUUAUACACAAAUGCAAAUAUGUAACUACAUGGUAAAAAGUGUUAAGGGCAGAUGGAAAUUUCUAGAUCAAAUGCUUUGGGCUCUCAGAGUCAGGACACAUUCCUUUUUUGCUGUGAAAUCAGGAGCGGCUACUUGCCAGUCAAUUUGUUUGGUCUCAGAUCCAACCCCUGUCCUGUGCUUUGCUCUGCAGCACAAGGAGCUGACUCCUGCAAACUCCAUUUCCCUGGCUGCCCUGCCGACUGGCUGCAGCUAGAGUCAGCAAGUGGGAGGCCACAGAGAAGGACCAGAGGGCUGGGGGAAGGGAGAAGCCAGGCUACUUCUCACCUCCCUCUGAGCCUCUUUUCUACCUGUACAAUGGAAAAACCAAUAGUAUGUUUUCACAGGGUUUUUUUUUUUUUUUUAUUUUUUAUGAGAAUUAAAUGAGAUAAGGCAUGCAAAAUGUUUAUCCCAGUACCUGGUGUGUAUAACAAGCCUUUGAAGAACAGAGCUGUUAUUGCUUUUAGCCUUGCUUAGGUAAGUGGGAAAGACUGCAGUGAUCAGUGACGCCUAAGAGUGAAGUAGGGGAAGUGGUGCCAUGUGAGAGGAGGGGUUACCAACCCUGAGAUUUAGGAGCCGUAUUGUGGAGAUAGACUUGAUAGGGGCUGGCAAACGGACGGAUAGACUCUUGUAAGGUGUUGGGAGAAACCUGAGAAUUUGGACCGUGAUACCAAAAGUAGGCAUAGACGACGCAUGAGAAAGACUAGGUCUGGGGGACAAGAUUACGGAUCCGUUUUUAGACCAGAGUGUUGAGCUCUUUCCACUUGGAGACAUGCGCGCGUGCGCGCGUACACACACACACACACACACACACACACCAAAACCCAAUGAUAAACUUGAGGAUACCUCAGGAAACGUGGCUUUUUGACAGAGAUAGACUUAACUUGCAGUGAGUUAGCGAAGAAAACCAUCUCAGCAGCUACACAUUCGGGCCUCAUGGAGAAUUGGAAAACGAUUCAGGAAACCAUAGCAACUCCAGCUACUGGAGUGCGGUCUCCUCUGAAGAAGAGAAACCACUGUUCUGUCUGGUCCUUAUCAGAUGCCUUUGACUCAGCACGGAAGUUGUGGCAGGCACGGCGGCCUCCCAGUGCCUCCCAGUGUGAAGAGCCACAUUUCUCAGAAGGUGCUGUGUAACUGGCUUCACGGCCAGUCUGGUGUGGACACGGGCUGUGAUCCCCAGUCUCCUUCCUCAAGCUGCCCCAGCCUCUGCCCAAUCCAAGAUGAAAGAAGUAACACACGUCGGUAGGUGAGCACCCAAUAUGUGCUGGAACGACCCGUGCUAAGACUUGGGAGAACAAAGCAAUAAAGCUAGCUGAUCCCACAGAGAAGUUGCUGGGCUCGGGUGCUAUGCCAAGUGCUCCAUGGGCAUCAGCUGAACCAGCACCCUACAAGGUGGCCGCCGUGGUUUUCAUCCAGUUGAAGAAUUAGUUUCUCAGCAAGGUUACUGUUAGGGGCUGAGGUGUGUGUCCCCAGAAUUCAUAUGCUGAGGCCCUAACCCCCAGCACCUCAGCCUUUGACUAUAUGUGUAGAUAGGGACUUUAGAGAGGUGAUUAUGUUGAAAUGAGGCUAUUAGGGUGGGCCCUGAUCCAAUCUGGCUGAUCCAAUCUGAACUGAUAAGAGGAAAUUUGGCUCAGGGAUGUGCACACAUGAGGAAAGGCCAUGUGAGGACACAGUAAGGAGGUGGCCACCUGCAAGCUAAGGAGAGAGGCCUCAGAGGAAACCAAACCUGCUGACCGCUUGAUCUUAGACUUUGAGCCUCCAAAACUGUGAGAAAAAUCAGUAUCUGUUGCUUAAGAUACCCAGUCUGUAAUAUUUUGCUAUGACAGCUCUAACAGACUAAUAUAGUUACAUAACUUCUAAAAGCUUAGGGGGUAUUCAGCCUUAAAAAGGAAGGAAAUUCCACCACAUGCUACAACACAGAUGUACCUUGAGGACAUUAUGCUCAGCGAAAUAAGCCAGUCGUAAAAGGACAAAUACUCUGUUUCCACUCAGAUGUGGUCCCUAGAGUAAUCAAAUUCAUAGAGACAGAAAGGAAAAAAAAAGGUAGUUGUCAGGGGCUGGGGGAGGGAAGAAUGAGGAGUUAUUGUUUAAUGGGUAUAGAGUUUCAGUUUUGCAAGAUGAAAAAAGUUCUGGAGAUUGGCAGUGGUGAUGGCCGCCAGCAAUGUGAAUGUACUCAAUGCCAUUGAAUUAUACACUGAAAACUGGUUAAAAUGGUAAAUUUUAUGACACGUAUAUUUUACUCAAAAACUUAAUUUAAAAAAAGCUUGGGGGGGGGGGCUUCCACCCUGCCUAAAGUUCAGUCUCCCUGAGAUGUUGGCUAAUUGCUGUUGGAGGGAUGAAGGAAGGGAGUUGGAGGAAGAGGGGGGUGGGGUAGGGGAGACAGGACUCUGGGAUGCAGAAGGCUGGCUUACUUUGGCUGCCCUCUCAGAAAUGUGCCGGCGUGCCCAGAUGAAAACUGUCCUGGCCCCACCUGCUCUCAAAUGCCAGAAUCAUAACGCAUGCCCAGCACCUUUGCCUUUGUCAAUAAUGAUGAUAGAGGAGAACAUGAUUUCCAAAUGUGAGGCUGAAUUCCCUGAGGUUUUUUGUUUUUUUUUCUUUUUACCUCUUUUUGUUUCCCAACGUCUCCUGGGCCUGCUCUUGGUCACACACAGAAAGAGAACACAUGCUCAGUAGUGGUCAAAGCAUUUUUCACAUUCUUCCACAGCAACAACAAAUCAGAACAGCCUUUCCUUAUAGUGUGGGUUUCCCACCAAACCUAAGACCUGAGGAGUUGGGGCCCCUGGUAUCUGCCCACUGGUUUGGAUUGGCUGGAUCAAUAUGGCCCUAACUAGGGAACCCAUUGGCACUGCACCCAUGGACUCUGAGAAAGGCAUAUGAUCUAGGUUCUCUCUCUCUCUCUCUCUCUCUCUCUCUCUCUCUCUCUCUCUCCUCUGCCUUGACCCCGCAGUGUGGACCCUCAAGGUUUGCUGUGUACUUAGUGCAGGACCUGUGAGUAAUAAACCUCUAUUCCAAUUUCUCUUGUGGCUUACCAUCUGACACCCUGUGCUACACUUAACAUAUGUUCAUUUAACAAAGUCACAGCACAUGGACAGACCCAAACUGAGGGACACCCUAUAAGUGACCUUGACAUCUUCAGAAAAUUUCAGGGGUCAUGAAGGA